RNAcentral lists this ribosomal RNA (446 nucleotides) under uncultured bacterium. Its description in RNAcentral is "partial 16S ribosomal RNA". It matches the Rfam family "Bacterial small subunit ribosomal RNA", at positions 338 to 795 of the family's 1533-position model. The record is from RNAcentral.
CCUACGGAGGGCUGCAGUAGGGAAUGUUGGGCAAUGGGGGGAACCCUGAUCGAGCAACGCCGCGUGAAUGAAGAAGGUAUUCGUAAUGUAAAGCUCUUUUAACAGGGAAGAAAGAGAAAUUUGACGGAACCUGAAGAAUAAGCUUCGGCAAACUACGUGCCAGCAGCCGCGGUAAGACGUAGGGGGCGAGCGUUAUACGGAAUUCUUGGGCGUAAAGGGUGUGUUGAUGGCAUAGUAAGCGUAUGGUAAAAAUGCUGGGUUCAAACCAGUAGGGCAAAGGAUACUGGAAAGCUAGAGUAUGGCAGAGGCAAGUGGAACUCGAGGUGUAGCGGUAAAAUGCGUAGAUAUAUGGAAGAACACCAGUGGCGAAGGCGGCUUGCUGGGUCGAUACUGACGUUGAGGCACGAAAGCGUGGGGAGCAAACAGGAUUAGAUACCCGGGUAGUC